AGACAGAGGAUGCAAGCGUUAUCCGGAAUGAUUGGGCGUAAAGCGUCUGUAGGUGGCUUUUCAAGUCCGCCGUCAAAUCCCAGGGCUCAACCCUGGACAGGCGGUGGAAACUACCCAGCUGGCGGACGGUAGGGGCAGAGGGAAUUUCCGGUGGAGCGGGGAAAUGCGUUGAGAUCGGAAAGAACACCAACGGCGAAAGCACUCUGCUGGGCCGACACUGACACUGAGAGGCGAAAGCUAGGGGAGCAAAUGGGAUUAGACACCCCAGUAGUCCGAGCCGUAAACGAUGGAUACUAAGGGCUGUGCGUAUCGACCCGCGCAGUGCUGUAGCUAACGCGUUAAGUAUCCCGCCUGGGGAGUACGUUCGCAAGAAUGAAACUCAAAUGAAUUUACGGGG
This 397-nucleotide ribosomal RNA is filed under the name uncultured bacterium. RNAcentral's name for it is "partial 16S ribosomal RNA". It matches the Rfam family "Bacterial small subunit ribosomal RNA", at positions 523 to 918 of the family's 1533-position model. The record is from RNAcentral.